CCUACGGGAGGCAGCAGUGGGGAAUAUUGCACAAUGGGGGAAACCCUGAUGCAGCGACGCCGCGUGAGUGAAGAAGUAAUUCGUUAUGUAAAGCUCUAUCAGCAGGGAAGAAAAUGACGGUACCUGAGUAAGAAGCCCCGGCUAACUACGUGCCAGCAGCCGCGGUAAUACGUAGGGGGCAAGCGUUUUCCGGAUUUACUGGGUGGAAAGGGAGCGUAGACGGCAGGGCAAGUCUGGAGUGAAAGGCGGGGGCUCAACCCCCGGACUGCUCUGGAAACUGUACGGCUGGAGUGCAGGAGAGGUAAGUGGAAUUCCUAGUGUAGCGGUGAAAUGCGUAGAUAUUAGGAGGAACACCAGUGGCGAAGGCGGCUUACUGGACUGUAACUGACGUUGAGGCUCGAAAGCGUGGGGAGCAAACAGGAUUAGAUACCCGAGUAGUC
This 440-nucleotide ribosomal RNA is filed under the name uncultured bacterium. Its description in RNAcentral is "partial 16S ribosomal RNA". It matches the Rfam family "Bacterial small subunit ribosomal RNA", at positions 338 to 795 of the family's 1533-position model. The record is from RNAcentral.